UUAGCCUUGGGUCCUCACAUCACUCAAAUGGCCAGACUCCUAGAAGCUUGAUGGCACCUGGGAGAGGCUCUCACAAAGACGACAUUUCCUAGGCUGUCUUGUGGUUCAGGUGAAGUGAUGCAGGCCAUGCCCAGCUCUGCUCAUUCAGCCCCUUGUCCUUCCAGAGCAACCCAAGAGGUCAUUUGCCUACUGUGGCGGGAUCACAGGACAGCAACGCAGAAGAUACGGCCGUUUGCAACUUUGCAGAUACCAGCACAGGAAGAAAAACAUGGAAGACUGCUGAUAACCUAAUAUGACAGCUCCUGACUCAGUCAUGUGGGGAUCA
Molecule: long non-coding RNA, 325 nt
Organism: Neogale vison (American mink)
Lineage: Eukaryota; Metazoa; Chordata; Mammalia; Carnivora; Mustelidae
Exons: 4
Source: RefSeq, a predicted model, not a curated record